This 675-nucleotide ribosomal RNA is filed under the name Triticum aestivum (bread wheat). Its description in RNAcentral is "partial small subunit ribosomal RNA". The record is from RNAcentral. Lineage: Eukaryota; Viridiplantae; Streptophyta; Magnoliopsida; Poales; Poaceae.
AUGCAGUGGCGCAUGAGGCGCCGUGCGUUUUGGGCGGGGGCGGCGACGCUGUGCCCGAUUCGGCCGCUGGCUCGUCCGAUUCGGCCGUCGGACCGGUCUCGCCGGGCGUGCGUCAGUUGGAUCAAGGGGUGGGCUUGGCUGAUGGCAAGUUUUCCGGGGCGUCCUGCAACACCUUCAGCUCUGGAGGCGGUCCGUCGAGUCGGGCGGCCGCAGUGGCGCGGCGGAUUCGUGCACGACAUUCAGUUCUGGGGGCGUGGCGACGAGUCGCCGGCCGUCGUCUCGAGCUGCACAAUGCAGUCCCUACGUCACAGCGGCCCGGCUUUGGCUAACACCACCAUCCGCGUAGGCUGGAAGCGGAGGCCAAGAGGUCCUCGUGCGCCAGACGAGAGGGCUGUAGUAGCUGACCGUGUUCCGCCAUUGGAAGCUGCUAUUAGAGGAUUCGCUGAUAGGGGGACUGAUGUGGGCGUCAACCCGGUGCUUGGCACUAUUUUUGAUUCGCUGGUAGAGGCGUAUGAAUUCUAUAAUCUAUAUUCAUGGGAGGUCGGCUUUGGGAUUCGUUACGGCAAGAGCAGGCAAAAUGUCAAUGGGACAUCUAGUCCUCGUCUCGGCGCACCUCGGGCACAGGAUCAAUGGCAGCAGUGGCGGGGGGCUGCGGAGACGACGCGCAGAAGAUGA